CACAAAAACAAUAUGUAAUUAUAUAUGUGUUUUCCGAUGGUCUUAGGCGACCCCUGUGAAAGGGUCGUUCGACCCCCAAAGGGGUCGCGACCCACAGGUUGAGAACCUCUGGUUUAAGCAAUGUACUUAUAUAAUCCUCAAAUUGUGAAUUAGGUGGAAAUACUGAUGUUCAGCUCACACUCUUAAUUGCUAAAAAUCACCACUUGGCUAUGGGUAAGAAUUUAAGCCCAGGUAUUUGUCACCAAAGACUAUUCUUGUAUUAUCCAACCUAGGCUAACCUCGUCACCUUUUCAAAUCUUCAACAUUUAUUCCUUGCUGCCACCCUCCACCAUCUACCACAGUUAACUGAACUUACUUAUCUACUCUCCAGUGAAGUUGUGGCACCAGUUUUCUUUUCCUUUACCCUUUUAUGAGAUUAGUCUUCACUGCUCUGCUGUCUCUCUUUCCCUGUUUAUCCACAACCUAAUAAUCGCAUUUGAAACUUGGGUCAUCUGUUUUGCUUUCUAGUUAGCCAUGCUCAGUGAGGAGCCUUUCUCACUUCCCAAUGUAAAACCCAUCAUGGGGGGAAAGUUUAUACAAACACUAUUUCUCUUUAGCUCAUGAGGCAAUCUCAAAGAGUUGGCACAGCCCAGCAUUAACAUGAAAGUCUUGCUAGACCUGGAAACUGUUAUUACCCAAAGCACAUGAGCAUGUAUAUACUUAGAUCCAUGGAGAUCAAAGGGGAAAAAAUUAACCCCCCAUAGAUACAGGAAAGAGAAUGAAGGUUAGGUCCAAAUAGGUGGUUAGAGAAGAAGAAAAAAAUUCAAGGGAAAUGUGGCCUGCAGUGAGGUUCAUUUGUAAUGAUGUGCAUUUCAGCAUCCUAGCCCCAGGCUUACUAGUAAUGUGCUGCUUAUUCAUAGAUGGCCCAGUAAACUCUUGGUUUUUUAUGUUUUUUCCCCCCUUUCUUACGGAAUGAUAAGAAGUCAGUGCCGAGCUAAAUAUGUUUGAUCAAUAGUUGGGACCACUUAAUGGGUGAUGCCAGAAGAUGUCUGGGUACUAUAUUUGGGUACAAAGUCAUAACUUCUUAGUUUCUGUUUGGCUUUCUAUUUCUCCACUAAAUAAUUAGCCAUAGACUCAUAUUCUCUGACCAGUCUUGCCAGAUUUCCCCAUUGAUGAGCCUUGCUACAUCUCUCAGAAAACCAACUAUACGUUACAAUGGUUCUUUAAACCCUCAUUCCGAGUAGCCAAGAAUUCUAUGAGAGCAGGUUUACCUGCAGGGGUUGAUGCAGGAGGAACUUGCUGCUUCUGAGAGAUUUGGGCCCUUUGGGGGUAAAUGGGUGACGGAAGUGGAAUUCUUUGCAAGGUUUAAAUUCAGAGAAUCAUUCUAGAGAGUCUUGCAUAUGCAUGAAUGAUUUCUAAUACUUCACUCUUUGAUGUGAGGAAUUUGCCUUAAAUGUUGCAUUCAAAAAUAAAUCCCCAUUUUACAAAACGUCAGUGAAUGAAGAAUUUGUUUAGUUUCACUAUAUGUGUAAGACUACUGGGCAUGGCAGGUUUAGGAAAAUAUAAAAGGGAAGAGGAGUUCUUGUCCUUCAAGAUCUUGAAAUCAAGGUGGAAAAAUAACACUUGAAGAAAGCAACCCGUCUGGUUGAAUUGUAAGCUCAUAGAACAGCCAACAUAAUGUGAUAAGGACGAUUAGGAAACCAUCAUGGUUUAUUUUGCUUACUCAUUCCUCAGUUGGCUUCUACUCUACAUUUAAAGCUUUUGUUAGCCUUUAGUUUAUACUGCACCUGAGUGACUUCACCCAUUUCCAUUGCCUGCAUGCUUAUGACCCCAAGUCCAUCUCCAGGCACUCUUGAGAAGCCCAGAUUUGUAUCUGCAAUUGAGUAGCAGGUUUAGGUUUGGAAGGGAAGUUAAACUUGUUGCUUUGCUUCCCACCUGUAGUAAUCUCUUCCUUAGUAUCCUAAUGUCAGAGCCAUCUAGAUGGGCUAAGGAUUUCAAAUCACUUUUUAACUGAAUGCCUCAUUAAGCUUACCUACCUGGGUCUGAAAUUGAAGAAUGGGUAGUCAUCUAUUUUCUUAUCUGAAUCUCCUCUUAAGCCAGAGGUUCUCAACCUGUGGGUCUCAACCCCUUUGGGGGUCGAAGGACCCUUUCACAGGGGUCUCCUAAGACCAUCGGAAAACACAUAUACAAUUACAUAUUGUUUUUGUGAUUAAUCACUAUGCUUUAAUGAUGUUCAAUUUGUAACAAUGAAAAUACAUCCUGCAUAUCAGAUAUUUACAUUAUGAUUCAUAACAGUAGCAAAAUUACAGUUAUGAAGUAGCAACGAAAAUAGUUUUAUGGUUGGGGGUCACCACAACAUGAGGAACUGUAUUACAGGGUCGCAGCGUUAGGAAGGUUGAGACCCACUGUCUUAAACCUUUCCUGAUGUUCAUAGUGCCCUUGCCUCUGGCCGUUCCUCCCCACAGACAGUCACAGUGGUUUCUGUUUUCUCUACCCUUGUUGUACAAGGGUAAAACUGAGUUGGUUGUGUUAUAAUCCCUAACAUCCUUAAAAGAUCAUCAUUUAAGGCAGCGGUUCUCAACCUGAUUAAUUGUGGUUGAAAAUCCCUUCAAACUAUAAUAAUAUUUUAUGGAAUAAAAAAAGGUUUAAAGAAACAAAAGAGAUGGAUAAGUAAAGGGAUAUUGAAUAGAUUAGUGACAAGCAUUUGUAUAAUUGUUCUCCCUUUCUGAAUGAGGAAAAUAAAAAAAUAUAAAACAUGAGUGAGAACAAUGAUGGCAGAUUUGUUUUUAAAACUUUUUAAAAAAUAUAUUGAGAUGAUUUCAAGUUGACUGAGAGCAGCUGUGCGAUUUCCAUUACCACUGAAAAACAAUAGCAGUGGGAGUCAGUCUACCUUUUCAUUAAUAGCAGUUUGACAGAAGAUGACAGGGGUGCUUGGUGUUUGAUGCCAUUCUGAACUUAAGAGAAUAAAUGGUAUUAAGCAGCCAAGUAGCUCUUCUAUUCCCCUUUUUAUACGUGAUGUCUCUUGUGUGUCUGACAAAGUAUCUGCCUUCCAAGUAACCUUGCUGUUGUCUACAGAUAGCCUCAGUUUUCUGUCUUUUCCUGGUUAAUUUCUUUAUCCUCACGCAAGAUUUACAAAGGAAGACCUGAGUAGAUUUGUUUGGUAUAAAUUGACACAAGCAAUAGCACUUUGUCAUUGUGUAUGUGAGAGGGGAAAUGUGUAAGUUUCAUUCUUUAUAAAAGACCUAUUUGAUAAGUCUUUUAUUGUAUAAGGCAUGUAAAGAAACAUCUUUGUUGCAGAAAAGUGUAAGGGUUCCAUGGCAACUGAUAACCAGAGGCAGCAUUUAACAUAUAAUUAAACACCGCUAUUAUCUCUUAUUUUCAUUAAGUGUUUAGGACUACCUUAUUUUACUCUGUAUAGUACAGAUAUUUUAAUGAAAAUUUAAGGUAAUGUGGAAAAAUCAAUUAUUCAUGAAUUAAUGGGGAAAAUUGUGCUCCAUAUAUAAAAUAAUAAGUCUCUUUGAGAAACAACGACCCCCUUUUAAUUUCAGUACUUUGUUAGUACCUUUAAUGUGACUAUGACAUCUUGUCUUUUAUUCAUUCAUCUCAAACAGUGGUUCUCAACCUUGGCUGCACAUUAGAAUCACCUGGGAAUCUUUUUAAAAUCCUGAUUUCUGGGACUCAUCCUCCGGAAAUUCUGUUUCUUUGUUAUGGGGUGGGGCCACAACAUUAGUCACAAAGAAACAGAAUUUCUGGAGGAUGAGGCCCAGAAAUCAGGAUUUUAAAAAGAUUCCCAGGUGAUUCUAAUGUGCAGCCAAGGUUGAGAACCACUGGUCUCAAAUAUUUAUCUACUCCAUCACUAAAAAUUUAAAUAUUCAUUCCCCAGUUUCUUGCAGAACCUAGGUUAUCCUGAACCUGAAAUUAAAUCUAUAUAUUUUGUAUAUUACAAAGAUAACUCUUGUGAUCUUAAAAAGGAAGGAAAUCUCACCUUUUGUGAAAGCAUGGAUGGACCUGGAAAAUAUGCUAAUUGAAAUAAACCAAUCAGAAAAAGACAAGUACCAUAUGAUUUAACUCCGGUGGAAUCUAAUGAACAAAGUCAACUACGUAAUAAAAUAGAAACAGAUUCAUGGAUAGACUGACAGCUGUGAGAGGGGAGGGGAGUUGCAGGGCUGGGUGAAAAUGGUG
Myotis daubentonii (Daubenton's bat) is the source of this 4161-nucleotide long non-coding RNA. RefSeq lists it as uncharacterized. The record is from RefSeq and is a predicted model, not a curated record. Lineage: Eukaryota; Metazoa; Chordata; Mammalia; Chiroptera; Vespertilionidae.